AUGGUUCCUACUCGCAAGUUGUUGUUGCUGCUGCUCGCCCAGCUGCUUGUGGCAGUGGCCGGCGUCGAGUUCGCCUACGAGGGCUUCCCCGUCGCCGGGCUGGCGCUCGACGGCAUAGCAAGCGUCACGUCGGACGGGCUGCUGCUGCUCACCAACGACACCGACUUGAACCUAGCCCACGCCUUCCACCCGGCCCCGCUCAGGUUCCACCGGACGUCCUCCUUCUCGACCACUUUCGUGUUCGCCAUCGUGUCGGAGCUCGUCGAUCUGAGCACGAGCGGGUUCGCGUUCCUCAUCGCGCCGACCAGCAGGGACCUGUCUUCGGCGAUGGCGGCGCAGUACCUCCGGACUGUUCAACGCCAGCGACAACGGCGACGCGCGGAACCGCGUCUUCGCCGUCGAGCUGGACAGCGUGCGCAACCCGGAGUUCGCGGACAUGAACGACAACCACGUCGGCGUCGACGUCAACAGCCUCAACUCCUCCGCGGCUGCCAUGGCGGGCUACUACGACGACGCCACCGGCGCGUUCCGGAAGCUGAGCCUGGCAAGCCGGGAGCCCAUGCAGGUGUGGGUGGACUACGACGCUGCCGCGACGGAGAUCACCGUGGCCUUGGCUCCGGCGCGGUCGCCCCGGCCCAAGAGGCCGCUCCUGACCGGAAGGAUCGACCUCUCCACGGUCGUCGCCGACACGGCGUACGUCGGCUUCUCGUCGGGGUCCAGCAUCGUGUUGUGCAAGCACUACGUGCUCGGCUGGAGCUUCAGCCUGGACGGCCCCGCUCCAGCGCUCGACCACGCAAAGCUGCCGACGCUGCCCCGCAUUGGCCCCAACCCCCAGUCAAAGACGCUCGCCAUCGCGCUGCCGAUCGUCACCACGGCAGCCGUCCUCGCGGCGGCCGGCAUGGGCCUCUUGUUGCUCCGCCGGCGGCUCAGGUACGCGGAGCUGCGCGAGGAUUGGGAGGUGGAGUUCGGGCCGCACCGGUUCGCGUUCAAGGACCUGUACGACGCCACCGCCGGGUUCAAGGACAAGCGGCUGCUGGGCACCGGAGGGUUCGGGAGCGUGUACAGGGGCGUGCUCCCGGGGUCCCGUACCGAGGUCGCCGUGAAGAGGGUGUCACACGAGUCGAGGCAGGGGAUGAGGGAGUUCAUCGCGGAGGUGGUAAGCAUCGGCCGGCUCCGGCACCGCAACCUCGUACAGCUGCGCGGAGCUGUUGCUGGUAUACGAUUACAUGCCACAUAGCAGCCUCGACAAACACCUGCACGGGCACGGCCAUGCUCUGGAGUGGGCUCAGAGGCUCAGGAUCAUCAAAGGCGUCGCCUCCGGGCUGCUGUACAUGCACGAGGACUGGGAGCAGGUCGUCAUCCACCGGGACAUCAAGGCGAGCAACGUGCUCCUGGACGGCGAGAUGA
RNAcentral lists this ribosomal RNA (1407 nucleotides) under Triticum aestivum (bread wheat). RNAcentral's name for it is "partial small subunit ribosomal RNA". The record is from RNAcentral. Lineage: Eukaryota; Viridiplantae; Streptophyta; Magnoliopsida; Poales; Poaceae.